This 949-nucleotide long non-coding RNA is filed under the name Mus musculus (house mouse). Its description in RNAcentral is "RIKEN cDNA 2900060N12 gene, transcript variant 3 (2900060N12Rik)". Lineage: Eukaryota; Metazoa; Chordata; Mammalia; Rodentia; Muridae. The record is from RNAcentral.
AGCGAGGGGCUGAGGCUCGACCAUGGCUGUCGCCCGAGGGCGACCGAGAGUCAGGCUAGCUGGUGGGGGCGUGUGAGGGCGGCUUUGCCUCCGCCUCUGCUCACUUCCUUUCUCAGGAAUGGUGGGCGCCGUCCCCACCCCUCACUGGCAGUGACGGUGGACAACAAAGGGGCUCGGGGUGGCGGCCAGACAAAGAGUUGCAGCGCCGGGGGAAGUUGGGAACAAAGGUAGGGGGCUGGGAGCUUCAGGGAGACGCGCUACAAGAACCCCAAAGCAGAAAGUGCCUUUGUCUCCUGGGCUGCCCAAACUUGCGGAAAGCCGGGUGGUCCUACCUCACCCGCCGCCCACCUGGGCCUGAUCGGCCGCGCUGGGACGAUGCCCUCACCGCGCAUCCAGCUGAGAGGGAAACAGGUCGGACCUGGGCAGCGCCCGAGGGAAAGCCUGGGUAGCCAGCGGCCGGCAUGUAAAGGCCCCGCCUCCUCAAAGGAAAGGCUGCUGGGUCUCUUGCUGAACUGAAGCUUGCUGUCUGACUGGGCUGACUGACCAAGGAGCUCCUGGGAUCUACUUGUCUCCAUCCCCCAUCCCCCAUCUCCCCAGGGCUGGGGUAAAAGGCACCAAGUCUGGCUUUUAUAUGGGGGCUGGGGAUUCAAACUCAAGUCCUAAUGCUUAUAGCACAAGCAUUCUUAUACAUCCAUAUAGUUUAAAAGAAAAACAGAAACAAAUACACAUGUAGCACUGUAAUUUAAAAUAUUUCACGUUACACAUGAGCAACAUUGAGAUUUAAGUCUAAAACACGUUUACUAUUUCCAAAGUUGUAUCAAGAUUUCUUUACAAAGAUAUAGCUUACUUAAUGUCUGAGACAAUUUAUGUGAGUAUUUCAAAGCCUACCCCUUUCAGAUAGGAUGUGAACAUACAAGCAUAUUUCAAAUAAAGGUACUUGUCAAAUCGA